This 265-nucleotide unclassified non-coding RNA is filed under the name Hevea brasiliensis (rubber tree). The record is from RNAcentral. Lineage: Eukaryota; Viridiplantae; Streptophyta; Magnoliopsida; Malpighiales; Euphorbiaceae.
GUGCAGUCCCUUGAUAUUAAAUGGUGAACUCCCAGGAGUAGAAAAAAGCCACAGGAUGUAGAACGCAACAAGUGUGACCCCAAAAAACCUGUGUAUCAAGACCAAAGCCUUUGACUUUGAAAGAUUAGGCAAUGAAAAGAUUAAGGUGGAAAGAGGUGCAGCAAAGAGUGUGAGUAUCAAAGAUCCCACAAACAAGCUGGGGAGAUUCCCCAAUCCCAAAGAUAUAGCUCCUUCAUCACGUAAAGGAAGAACCACAAAGUAUGCG